This 1369-nucleotide ribosomal RNA is filed under the name uncultured bacterium. RNAcentral's name for it is "bacterial SSU rRNA". It matches the Rfam family "Bacterial small subunit ribosomal RNA", at positions 28 to 1381 of the family's 1533-position model. The record is from RNAcentral.
GACGAACGCUGGCGGCGUGCCUAAUACAUGCAAGUAGAACGCUGAAGAGAGGAGCUUGCUCUUCUUGGAUGAGUUGCGAACGGGUGAGUAACGCGUAGGUAACCUGCCUUGUAGCGGGGGAUAACUAUUGGAAACGAUAGCUAAUACCGCAUAACAAUGGAUGACACAUGUCAUUUAUUUGAAAGGGGCAAUUGCUCCACUACAAGAUGGACCUGCGUUGUAUUAGCUAGUAGGUGAGGUAACGGCUCACCUAGGCGACGAUACAUAGCCGACCUGAGAGGGUGAUCGGCCACACUGGGACUGAGACACGGCCCAGACUCCUACGGGAGGCAGCAGUAGGGAAUCUUCGGCAAUGGGGGCAACCCUGACCGAGCAACGCCGCGUGAGUGAAGAAGGUUUUCGGAUCGUAAAGCUCUGUUGUAAGUCAAGAACGAGUGUGAGAGUGGAAAGUUCACACUGUGACGGUAGCUUACCAGAAAGGGACGGCUAACUACGUGCCAGCAGCCGCGGUAAUACGUAGGUCCCGAGCGUUGUCCGGAUUUAUUGGGCGUAAAGCGAGCGCAGGCGGUUUGAUAAGUCUGAAGUUAAAGGCUGUGGCUCAACCAUAGUUUGCUUUGGAAACUGUCAAACUUGAGUGCAGAAGGGGAGAGUGGAAUUCCAUGUGUAGCGGUGAAAUGCGUAGAUAUAUGGAGGAACACCGGUGGCGAAAGCGGCUCUCUGGUCUGUAACUGACGCUGAGGCUCGAAAGCGUGGGGAGCGAACAGGGUUAGAUACCCUGGUAGUCCACGCCGUAAACGAUGAGUGCUAGGUGUUGGAUCCUUUCCGGGAUUCAGUGCCGCAGCUAACGCAUUAAGCACUCCGCCUGGGGAGUACGACCGCAAGGUUGAAACUCAAAGGAAUUGACGGGGGCCCGCACAAGCGGUGGAGCAUGUGGUUUAAUUCGAAGCAACGCGAAGAACCUUACCAGGUCUUGACAUCCCGAUGCUAUUUCUAGAGAUAGAAAGUUACUUCGGUACAUCGGUGACAGGUGGUGCAUGGUUGUCGUCAGCUCGUGUCGUGAGAUGUUGGGUUAAGUCCCGCAACGAGCGCAACCCCUAUUGUUAGUUGCCAUCAUUCAGUUGGGCACUCUAGCGAGACUGCCGGUAAUAAACCGGAGGAAGGUGGGGAUGACGUCAAAUCAUCAUGCCCCUUAUGACCUGGGCUACACACGUGCUACAAUGGUUGGUACAACGAGUUGCAAGUCGGUGACGGCAAGCUAAUCUCUUAAAGCCAAUCUCAGUUCGGAUUGUAGGCUGCAACUCGCCUACAUGAAGUCGGAAUCGCUAGUAAUCGCGGAUCAGCACGCCGCGGUGAAUACGUUCCCGGGCCU